This 534-nucleotide ribosomal RNA is filed under the name Escherichia coli. Its description in RNAcentral is "partial 23S ribosomal RNA". It matches the Rfam family "Bacterial large subunit ribosomal RNA", at positions 905 to 1435 of the family's 2925-position model. Lineage: Bacteria; Pseudomonadati; Pseudomonadota; Gammaproteobacteria; Enterobacterales; Enterobacteriaceae. The record is from RNAcentral.
GAGCACUGUUUCGGCAAGGGGGUCAUCCCGACUUACCAACCCGAUGCAAACUGCGAAUACCGGAGAAUGUUAUCACGGGAGACACACGGCGGGUGCUAACGUCCGUCGUGAAGAGGGAAACAACCCAGACCGCCAGCUAAGGUCCCAAAGUCAUGGUUAAGUGGGAAACGAUGUGGGAAGGCCCAGACAGCCAGGAUGUUGGCUUAGAAGCAGCCAUCAUUUAAAGAAAGCGUAAUAGCUCACUGGUCGAGUCGGCCUGCGCGGAAGAUGUAACGGGGCUAAACCAUGCACCGAAGCUGCGGCAGCGACGCUGAUGCGUUGUUGGGUAGGGGAGCGUUCUGUAAGCCUGUGAAGGUGUGCUGUGAGGCAUGCUGGAGGUAUCAGAAGUGCGAAUGCUGACAUAAGUAACGAUAAAGCGGGUGAAAAGCCCGCUCGCCGGAAGACCAAGGGUUCCUGUCCAACGUUAAUCGGGGCAGGGUGAGUCGACCCCUAAGGCGAGGCCGAAAGGCGUAGUCGAUGGGAAACAGGUUAAUA